RNAcentral lists this ribosomal RNA (301 nucleotides) under uncultured bacterium. RNAcentral's name for it is "partial 16S ribosomal RNA". It matches the Rfam family "Bacterial small subunit ribosomal RNA", at positions 509 to 807 of the family's 1533-position model. The record is from RNAcentral.
CAGUAGCCGCGGGAAUACGUAGGUGGCAAGCAUUGUCCGGAAUUAUUGGGCGUAAAGGGCUCGCAGGCGGUUUCUUAAGUCUGAUGUGAAAGCCCCCGGCUCAACCGGGGAGGGUCAUUGGAAACUGGGAAACUUGAGUGCAGAAGAGGAGAGUGGAAUUCCACGUGUAGCGGUGAAAUGCGUAGAGAUGUGGAGGAACACCAGUGGCGAAGGCGACUCUCUGGUCUGUAACUGACGCUGAGGAGCGAAAGCGUGGGGAGCGAACAGGAUUAGAGACCCCCGUAGUCCCUGUCUCUUAUAC